CCUACGGGAGGCAGCAGUGAGGAAUAUUGGUCAAUGGCCGUAAGGCUGAACCAGCCAAGCCGCGUGAAGGAAGAAGGACCUCUGGUUUGUAAACUUCUUUUAUAGGGGGGUAAAGGUAUCCACGUAUGGAUAUUUGCAUGUACCCUAUGAAUAAGCGUCGGCUCACUCCGUGCCAGCCGCCGCGGUACUACGGUGGAUGCGAGCGUUAUCCUGAUUUAUUGGGUUUAAAGGGUGCGUAGGUUGUUUUUUAAGUAAGCUGUGAAAGUUUCUGGCUUAACCAUAAAAUUGCCGUUGAAACUGGAAGACUUGAGUGUGUUUGAGGUAGGCGGAAUGCGUGGUGUAGCGGUGAAAUGCAUAGAUAUCACGCAGAACUCCGAUUGCGAAGGCAGCUUACUAAGCCAUAACUGACACUGAAGCACGAAAGCGUGGGGAUCAAACAGGAUUAGAUACCCGAGUAGUC
Molecule: ribosomal RNA, 460 nt
Filed under: uncultured bacterium
Lineage: Bacteria
Description: partial 16S ribosomal RNA
Rfam family: Bacterial small subunit ribosomal RNA
Source: RNAcentral